This 491-nucleotide ribosomal RNA is filed under the name uncultured Planctomycetota bacterium. RNAcentral's name for it is "bacterial SSU rRNA". It matches the Rfam family "Bacterial small subunit ribosomal RNA", at positions 94 to 578 of the family's 1533-position model. The record is from RNAcentral. Lineage: Bacteria; Pseudomonadati; Planctomycetota.
AGCGGCAAACGGGGUAGGAAUGAGUCGGUGACGUACCCUCGGGACGAGGAUAGCCACGGGAAACUGUGAUUAAUACUCGAUAACCUGGCGGAGCGUGGUGGUUUCGCCAGCAAAGGUGAGAUUCCACCCGAGGAGCGGCUGACUUCGUAUUAGCUAGUUGGCGAGGUAACGGCUCACCAAGGCUUCGAUGCGUAGGGGGUGUGAGAGCACGACCCCCACCACUGGGACUGAGAUACUGCCCAGACACCUACGGGUGGCUGCAGUCGAGAAUCUUCGGCAAUGGGCGCAAGCCUGACCGAGCGACGCCGCGUGGAGGAUGAAGGCCCUUGGGUUGUAAACUCCUGUCAGAGGGGAUGAAGUGCAUGGGAGCCAUCUCUCAUGUUUGACAUAGCCUCAGAGGAAGCACGGGCUAAGUUCGUGCCAGCAGCCGCGGUAAUACGAACUGUGCGAACGUUAUUCGGAAUCACUGGGCUUAAAGGGUGCGUAGGCGG